UCCAGAUCACAACAUGAUAAGGGAGAGGAAGGAGAACUGCGCAGUCACAGCAGCUGCAUCUAGCUCUGAACAUUGCCUAGCUCUUGCGACCUGCCCCUUGUGUAGUCACUGUUGCCAGCUGGUAACAGGAACGGUGAGGGAAUAUGCAUACGCUCUGAAAGAAAGUGAAGACUCGCUCCUGCUCUGGCUUGGCUGUGCAAACAUCGUGGCAGAGGCAAACUAUUCUGAAGAAAGAAAUCAACCGACGCAUUCAGUCUGGAGGAAUCCCCCAGGGUACCAGUGGGAUGCAUUAACAGUGCAUUUCUCCGGUGAGAUGUGAUGGGAAGAGCAUAGAGCAAAAAGAAGCAGUUUUGUUUUUUGUUAACACAAGCCGAGAGAAGAUGAAGAAACAACCUCUCCAAGGAUACAGACUGACAGCAAUACUGCCAUCUGACUAGAAAGGACUCAGACAUACGCAUAAUCCUCAGGAAAAUUCAUCUCCACCCUCCCAGCAGACCCUGGUGAGAGAGCCCUUGAAGUGGUAAUUAAAGUCUAUUGAGUGGCAACUGCACCUGUUUAGAAAGGAGCAUGUGGGUAAGAGGUGCACAAAGGGAGAUGAGCAGCACAGAGAGAGAGUGUGUGAGAGGAGCUGCUAGAGGUGGGGAAGAAGGGAAGCAGAA
Struthio camelus australis is the source of this 659-nucleotide long non-coding RNA. RefSeq lists it as uncharacterized. The record is from RefSeq and is a predicted model, not a curated record. NCBI's taxonomy places the organism in Eukaryota, Metazoa, Chordata, Aves, Struthioniformes, Struthionidae.